Molecule: small RNA, 48 nt
Filed under: Arabidopsis thaliana (thale cress)
Lineage: Eukaryota; Viridiplantae; Streptophyta; Magnoliopsida; Brassicales; Brassicaceae
Description: ATSL174070
Source: RNAcentral
UUCCACCUUCUGCAAUCCUCUCCGUCGUGAUAAUCAAAUUUGUUUAUU